Molecule: long non-coding RNA, 1170 nt
Filed under: Homo sapiens (human)
Lineage: Eukaryota; Metazoa; Chordata; Mammalia; Primates; Hominidae
Description: HSALNT0040850
Source: RNAcentral
GUGGCAACCUGAGACUGUUCCCAGGCUCAAUUCACAGGAGCCCAUGUUCAGCGGUUAUUUAAUAGCUUUGAAAUGCCAUUCACCUGUGGCCCAUUUCAAGUUUCCCAUGAUUCUUAGGAAGACCCUGGCCUCCAUCUUGAAAACGGAAAAUAAAAACAGCAGACCUAUGAAGGUCGAAGGGGAAGAAAAGCUGUAUCGAUUGUUGAGAUCUGGCGACUUGUUUAAAUUUCAUCAGCCUCACUUCUAUGAACUCUCAGGACAAACUGCAACAGAGUCACAUCGAGUUGAGACUUCUCCAAGGGCCAUGGGGUUGACAUCUGUAUUCUCAGGCCUCACGUGUACCAGCUCUCUGCUCUCCUUUGCCUUGGGACGUUCCAUCCCUGGAAGUUUCCCUGCCCACAUCUUUGUAGAGAGUCCAUUCUCCAAGCUUCAGUGUGUCAUCUGUGAGGACCGUGACCCACCUGGUACAUCGCCUCAGGGCAUUCAUUUCAGGCUCCUUCUAAAUGGCCAAGAGACAACACCAACAUUUUUGUAAUGGCCUGCAAGGCCUUCCGAGAUCUACCUCCUGCAACUCAGCUUCUCCUGUGCUCUCCUUCUGGACUCACUCUGCCUCAGCAACACUGGUCCCUGUUGCCCCACCAAUAUGCCAGGCCAUGAGAGAAGCAGUACCUUAUAAUGGUUCCUUGUUCAAAGCACUCAAUAUUCCUAGGAUGUGGUCUCCCAGCUGACUUCAUAACUGAAUCAUCAGUAAUUAAUUUCAUUGUUCUAUUAGGACUUUACUGAAGACUCUAAGGAGGACCUGUAUCUGUUGGGAUCCUCAGGGCAAGCCACAGAAACAAGCUUUGGAUACUAGAAGCAGAAAAUGGAGAUAUUGAAGACUAUUGUGGAGUUUACUGUGAGCCAGAGAACCAGGCUGGGGGGCUGUAUCACUUAGAAUGAGAUCCAAACUCACACCAUAGUUCCAUCCUUGAGGUUGCCAUGUUGCUGCCACCCCUCCUGCCACCCCACCACUGAAGCUUUGGAUGCUGGAUUCUGGGCACAGCAGGGAGAAGUGUUGCUUAUUACCAUUUUAGCACCCUUGGAAAUGCAAUGCUACAUCUCAAUGGGAUUUUCCAGUACAAAGAUUCUUUUCAAAUAACAUAAUUGUGGAUACACACCACUCCUACAGUG